GGGCACUGUACCAGCAGCAUGAAUCCCGCCUUGGUGAGGGGAGGGAGACUCGCUCCCCACGGCGGGACCACUGGCAAGCAGGUGUUAGCAGAGGUUUCUGGGCUGUCACCUGGUUAUUGUGCAGGUGUCUCCUUCAAAUCAUGGAAGGAAACAAUGGCUCUGACUCAGGGAUGAGAAUCCAGGACCUCCACCAGUAAUUACACAAAGUGAUGUGUGGCAGAGCACACGACCUGGAGUAGACGCUCUCAGUGGAGAGAACGGGUCCGUGUAAUAAUUAUCCCUCAUAUUUGAAUAGGACUUUCUAAGCACUUUCUACAAAGCACUUUCUAAUAUGUUACAGGGCUAACUGAGUGUCAAUGAUUAACAGAUACCUAAGCAGAAAGAGAGACAGUCUUUGGUCCACUUAACAGUGGGGAAUGGUUCUGUGGUUCCCCGGGGAACAGGCAGAGCUGUGAGUGUUUGAUCUUGGCACAAAAUGAUUCUGACCGCUACUAUUCUUUCUAUCAGGAAUGGAGAUUUAAUUAAAUACCGAUUUGUCUUUAACAACUUUGAAACACCCUUUUCACCAUGAGAGCUCCAAGUGAUUUGCAAGGGAAUAGGAGGUAGCUUACUGGGGCCCAGAGAAAACAUUCCAAAGCACAAGUCUGGGUUUCUGUAUUUAUUUACUCUUUGUGUCUCUGCUUCUCUAGCUCUGUGUCAUACACACACACAUCCCUAUGGAUGGCAAGUGAGGAAGACACACUGUUAAAAACACUCAGACAUGGUCAAGUCAGAGAAAAUGCCACAGCCCUCUAGAACCAUAUUCUGUAUACCAACAAUGCCUGAGAUGAUUUUUUUUCCUGACCUCCAGAUGCCCGUUUUACCAGGUUAUCAGCAGGUUAUCCUAAGGCCCACCCUCUAUUAAGGAAGUCAGAGUAGGGGUCCAGGAGUCUGCAUUUAACAAGCCUUUCUGGUAAUGCGAAUGCUAGGAGUAGGAGGACCCCACCUUGCGAGAUCCCACUCCAGCAUUUGCCAUCCACGUGUUGGAGAAUAUAUGGACCAAGCCAGCCUAGUAAAUCGUUUCCCCCUCUUCCCCAUUUGAAUCCCUCAGGAUUUACACCUUGGGGGAAGCCGAGCGUUUCCCUGACAACAGAUGACUAAUAUAGAAGUCCCUGUGAACAGGCGGAAGACAGGGGUGGACAAGAGAAACAAUGUGGACAGGUCUCAAGUUGAAACAACAGGCUCUUGACAGUCUCAGGCACACACACUGACAGGGAGGGGCCCUGGGGCUCAGGCAGGGGAGACACUGCCUAAGGA
This 1296-nucleotide long non-coding RNA is filed under the name Macaca mulatta (Rhesus monkey). RNAcentral describes it as "lncRNA (ENSMMUG00000056237.1)". Lineage: Eukaryota; Metazoa; Chordata; Mammalia; Primates; Cercopithecidae. The record is from RNAcentral.